This is a long non-coding RNA of Brassica rapa (field mustard), 583 nucleotides long. RefSeq lists it as uncharacterized. NCBI's taxonomy places the organism in Eukaryota, Viridiplantae, Streptophyta, Magnoliopsida, Brassicales, Brassicaceae. The record is from RefSeq and is a predicted model, not a curated record.
AUAUAGGUUAAAUUAAGGAAGAGAUAUUCAACAAGCCCGUCUAGCUCAGUUGGUAGAGCGCAAGGCUCUUAACCUUGUGGUCGUGGGUUCGAGCCCCACGGUGGGCGCUUAUUUUUUUAUUAUUUUCCGCUCCGAAAAAAAAACUUUUUUUUUUGAGGAAAAUAAUAUCACAAAUAAUUAGUAGAGGUCAGAUAUAUCCUCUACCACGUUCAAUAACACAUCACAAAUCGCAAAUCCUCUCCUUCUCUCUCUCUCUGCUUGACUCGAUUCGUUCCAGGAGGCCAGGAGCGGCUUGAUUUGAUCUUGAGACAAUGGUGCGGCUGGAAUCGACAUGGACGAAGGAGCUCUCGAGAUCGGAAUGGAGUACAGAACUGUCUCAGGUGUUGCGGGACCUUUGGUGAUCCUUCUCCUUUGCCAAUUUCGGUGUAUGAGUAAACAAUGCAGCUUUUAUAUAAAGAUAACAACAGUUUGUAUAUGAUAAUGUCAUAAACUAAUUCACAACGUAUAUUCAAUGACAGAGACAAGCUGAUGGCUAGUAUACCAAUGAGCAUCAGUCUCUCUAAGCCAUUCUAAUUUAGUCUAA